Salvelinus fontinalis (brook trout) is the source of this 935-nucleotide long non-coding RNA. RefSeq lists it as uncharacterized. NCBI's taxonomy places the organism in Eukaryota, Metazoa, Chordata, Actinopteri, Salmoniformes, Salmonidae. The transcript is spliced from 2 exons. The record is from RefSeq and is a predicted model, not a curated record.
GUUGGAGGUGAUGUUGGCGUUGGGCCUUCUGAAAGCCUGCUCCAGAGGGUUCCUCUUGAAGCUGGACAUCACAUGGUGCUCUGGGAGAGAAUACAAAGGAGUUAAAAAUGUGAUGGAAUCUGUGGCUUGGAGCUGACAUCCCUAUCUUACAGCUCUAUUCUGUUGUGGCAUUUUAAGGGGUGUAACGUUAGGGAAGUGCCUCUCACACUAUAUUAGAGAAAUGGGAUGUAUCCAGGGGUGUGGUUUUCUGUUGCACUAAUGACCUCAUUCACAGCAGCUGCACACCUUCUCCACCUGGCUGCAAUCAAGGCUGCUCAGACCAAGGUAAAACAGCUGGGGGAACUGCUAGUGAAAGAACCAGUGGGUGAUACGGGUGUGAAUUUGUUCCUGUGUGCUUUCUUUUGAAGACUCGUGACCCACCAGCCUCUAUAAAGAAGUGAACAGCCUUACGAGGGUAGCUCUCCUGUGUAGGAGACUAUCUGGGUUGAUCUCAUCACUUUUGAGACCUCUCCACAAGAUGAGAGCCAAGUGGAGGAAGAACCGUAUGCGCGGGCUGAAGCGUAAAAGGUGGAAAAUGAGGCAGAGGUCCAAGUAGACUGGGCCCAUCCCCUACAGCUGUGAUACCCCUCCAAGACCACUCUGGUGAUUGAAGCCUGCGGUCCAUGAUGUGCCAACAGCUGAACUAUGGUUGUCUGAAGCCAACCUCAUUGCAAUGGAGUAAAGGACAGAUCCCGGACACCCAGCCCUCUACUAUGCUAAUGGCGGCUGGCCAGCAACGACUACUGGAGAAUGACGAGGAAGACUAGAGAAAUUAUCUCCUAUCGUUGAACUCUGGACUUUUACCACCUGCCCAGCAUUUUAUUUGUUGUGUAGACUUUUUUUAUUCAUCUUUGGUUUAUUAACCACAAAAUAAAGAACAAUUGUUAUUGGUUAAA